CCUACGAGUGGCAGCAGUGAGGAAUAUUGGUCAAUGGGCGGGAGCCUGAACCAGCCAAGUCGCGUGAGGGAAGACGGUCCUAUGGAUUGUAAACCUCUUUAGGCGGGGAGCAAUGCCGGGCACGCGUGACCGGAGGGAGAGUACCCGCAGAAUAAGCAUCGGCUAACUCCGUGCCAGCAGCCGCGGUAAUACGGAGGGUGCGAGCGUUAUCCGGAUUUAUUGGGUUUAAAGGGUGCGUAGGCGGACUUUUAAGUCAGCGGUAAAAUGUCCGGGCUCAACCCGGGCCGGCCGUUGAAACUGGGGAUCUUGAGUGGGCGAGAAGUAUGCGGAAUGCGUGGUGUAGCGGUGAAAUGCAUAGAUAUCACGCAGAACUCCGAUUGCGAAGGCAGCAUACCGGCGCCCGACUGACGCUGAGGCACGAAAGCGUGGGUAUCGAACAGGAUUAGAUACCCGGGUAGUC
RNAcentral lists this ribosomal RNA (460 nucleotides) under uncultured bacterium. RNAcentral describes it as "partial 16S ribosomal RNA". It matches the Rfam family "Bacterial small subunit ribosomal RNA", at positions 338 to 795 of the family's 1533-position model. The record is from RNAcentral.